Long non-coding RNA from Aricia agestis (brown argus), 529 nucleotides. RefSeq lists it as uncharacterized. The record is from RefSeq and is a predicted model, not a curated record. The transcript is spliced from 3 exons. Lineage: Eukaryota; Metazoa; Arthropoda; Insecta; Lepidoptera; Lycaenidae.
GUGCCGAAUUACAAAGUCUGAAACUACUUAAUACCUAUUUUUUCAGAUGUCACGCUCCUUUCUUCUUCUGUAUUUAUUAAAAGAAGCCAAUGAUUUGGAUUUAUUUGCAUCUCGACGCCAAGCUCGGCGUGUCAGAAAUCUGCCCCUGCUGAAUAGAGGAGAUGACUAUGUGCGCCAAUACCGCCUUAGCGAGGACAUGAUAGAGGAGUUGCAGGAAGAAUUAUCUAAUCUCGUCAGUACUAGGACUAGAGGAAGUUUGAGCAUUAGGUUAAAAUUACUGUGCACUCUUGCUUUCUUAGCCACUGGGAGCUACCAAAGGAUUAUAGGAAGGAAUAUAGGUACCUUUAUGUCCCAACCAUCAAUAUCAAGAUCUAUUGAUGAGAUAGUAAGAUUGCUAAGUCAGCCGAGUAUAGUACGGAAGUAUAUACGCUUUCCCCAAAAUUCAGCUGAAAGGACAAGACUCAAAGAAAAGUUUUAUGAAAAGUUUGGCAUACCAGGUGUCAUAGGUUGUAUCGAUGGGACAUUUGUU